This 468-nucleotide ribosomal RNA is filed under the name uncultured bacterium. Its description in RNAcentral is "partial 16S ribosomal RNA". The stretch from base 58 to 468 matches the Rfam family "Bacterial small subunit ribosomal RNA", at positions 39 to 507 of the family's 1533-position model. The record is from RNAcentral.
GGGGGGGGGGGGGGGGGGGGGGGGGGGGGGCGGGGCGGGGGGAGGGGGGCUGGGUGGGGGGGGGGCUCGAGUGGCGAACGGGUGAGUAACACGUGAGGAACCUGCCCUUGACUGUGGGAGAACUUCAUGAAACUGGGGCUAAUACCGGGUCGGAGCUCCUGCUGCAUUGUGGGUCUUGGACAGUUUCGGCGGUGGGGGAUGGACUCGCUGCUUCUCAGCUUGUUGGUGGUGUAGUGGCUUACCAAGGCUUUGACGGGUAGCCGGCCUGCGAGGGUCACCGGCGACAUUGGGACUGAGAUACGGCCCAGAUUCCUACGGGAGGCAGCAGUGGGGAAUAUUGCACAAUGGGCGGAAGCCUGAUGCAGCAACGCCGCGUGCGGGAUGACGGCCUUCGGGUUGUAAACCGCUUUCGCCUGUGACGAAGCGUGAGUGACGGUAAUGGGUAAAGAAGCACCGGCUAACUACGUG